RNAcentral lists this ribosomal RNA (253 nucleotides) under uncultured bacterium. Its description in RNAcentral is "partial 16S ribosomal RNA". It matches the Rfam family "Bacterial small subunit ribosomal RNA", at positions 524 to 776 of the family's 1533-position model. The record is from RNAcentral.
UACGUAGGGUGCGAGCGUUAAUCGGAAUUACUGGGCGUAAAGUGUGCGCAGGUGGCCGCGCAAGUCGAGUGUGAAAUCCCCGAGCUUAACUUGGGAAUUGCGCUCGAAACUACGUGGCUCGAGUGUGGCAGAGGAAGGUGGAAUUCCACGUGUAGCGGUGAAAUGCGUAGAGAUGUGGAGGAACGCCGAUGGCGAAGGCAGCCUUCUGGGCCAACACUGACGCUCAUGCACGAAAGCGUGGGGAGCAAACAGG